GAAUGUUGGCAUGAGUAGCGAGAUGUGGGUGAGAAUCCCACAGGCCGUAAACCCAAGGUUUCCAGGGGAAGGUUCGUCCGCCCUGGGUUAGUCGGGACCUAAGCUGAGGCCGAAAGGCGUAGGUGAUGGACAACAGGUUGAUAUUCCUGUACUACCGAUAACCGUUUGAGAGAAGGGAUGACACAGUAGGAUAAGCUAAGCACACUGUUGGUUAUGUGUGCCCAAGCAUUGAGGCAGUCAAAGUAGGCAAAUCCGCUUUGAUAAUGCUGGGAUGUGAUGGGGAGCGAAAUUUAGUAGCGAAGUAGCUGAUUUCACACUGUCAAGAAAAGUCUCUAUCGAGGUUAAAGGUACCCGUACCGCAAACCGACACAGGUGGGUGAGGAGAGUAUCCUAAGGCCAGCGAGAGAACUGUUGUUAAGGAACUCGGCAAAAUGACCCCGUAACUUAGGGAUAAGGGGUGCCACCAUCAGGUGGCCGCAGAGAAUAGGCCCAAGCGACUGUUUACCAAAAACAUAGGUUUCUGCUAAGUCGCAAGACGAUGUAUAGGAGCUGACGCCUGCCCGGUGCUGGAAGGUUAAGGGGAUCUGUUAGAGCAAUCGAAGCAGUGAACUUAAGCCCCAGUAAACGGCGGCCGUAACUAUAACGGUCCUAAGGUAGCGAAAUUCCUUGUCGGGUAAGUUCCGACCCGCACGAAAGGCGUAACGAUUUGGGCACUGUCUCAACAACAGACUCGGUGAAAUUGUAAUUCCGGUGAAGAUGCCGGAUACCUGCGACAGGACGGAAAGACCCCAUGGAGCUU
RNAcentral lists this ribosomal RNA (799 nucleotides) under Clostridioides difficile. RNAcentral's name for it is "partial 23S ribosomal RNA". It matches the Rfam family "Bacterial large subunit ribosomal RNA", at positions 1292 to 2101 of the family's 2925-position model. Lineage: Bacteria; Bacillati; Bacillota; Clostridia; Peptostreptococcales; Peptostreptococcaceae. The record is from RNAcentral.